This 369-nucleotide ribosomal RNA is filed under the name uncultured organism. Its description in RNAcentral is "bacterial SSU rRNA". It matches the Rfam family "Bacterial small subunit ribosomal RNA", at positions 526 to 896 of the family's 1533-position model. The record is from RNAcentral.
CGUAGGUGGCAAGCGUUGUCCGGAUUUAUUGGGUUUAAAGGGUGCGUAGGCGGUCCUAUAAGUCAGUUGUGAAAUACGGCAGCUUAACUGUCGAGGUGCAAUUGAUACCGCAGGACUUGAGUACAGACGAGGUAGGCGGAAUUGACGGUGUAGCGGUGAAAUGCUUAGAUAUCGUCAAGAACACCGAUAGCGAAGGCAGCUUACUAGACUGUAACUGACGCUGAUGCACGAAAGUGUGGGGGAUCAAACAGGAUUAGAUACCCUGGUAGUCCACACUGUAAACGAUGAUUACUCGAUGUUGGCGAUACACAGCCAGCGUCUUAGCAAAAGCGAUAAGUAAUCCACCUGGGGAGUACGCCGGCAACGGUG